RNAcentral lists this ribosomal RNA (1438 nucleotides) under Lactiplantibacillus plantarum. RNAcentral's name for it is "bacterial SSU rRNA". The record is from RNAcentral. Lineage: Bacteria; Bacillati; Bacillota; Bacilli; Lactobacillales; Lactobacillaceae. RNAcentral also lists the same sequence under 1 other name.
GCAGUCGAACGAACUCUGGUAUUGAUUGGUGCUUGCAUCAUGAUUUACAUUUGAGUGAGUGGCGAACUGGUGAGUAACACGUGGGAAACCUGCCCAGAAGCGGGGGAUAACACCUGGAAACAGAUGCUAAUACCGCAUAACAACUUGGACCGCAUGGUCCGAGYUUGAAAGAUGGCUUCGGCUAUCACUUUUGGAUGGUCCCGCGGCGUAUUAGCUAGAUGGUGGGGUAACGGCUCACCAUGGCAAUGAUACGUAGCCGACCUGAGAGGGUAAUCGGCCACAUUGGGACUGAGACACGGCCCAAACUCCUACGGGAGGCAGCAGUAGGGAAUCUUCCACAAUGGACGAAAGUCUGAUGGAGCAACGCCGCGUGAGUGAAGAAGGGUUUCGGCUCGUAAAACUCUGUUGUUAAAGAAGAACAUAUCUGAGAGUAACUGUUCAGGUAUUGACGGUAUUUAACCAGAAAGCCACGGCUAACUACGUGCCAGCAGCCGCGGUAAUACGUAGGUGGCAAGCGUUGUCCGGAUUUAUUGGGCGUAAAGCGAGCGCAGGCGGUUUUUUAAGUCUGAUGUGAAAGCCUUCGGCUCAACCGAAGAAGUGCAUCGGAAACUGGGAAACUUGAGUGCAGAAGAGGACAGUGGAACUCCAUGUGUAGCGGUGAAAUGCGUAGAUAUAUGGAAGAACACCAGUGGCGAAGGCGGCUGUCUGGUCUGUAACUGACGCUGAGGCUCGAAAGUAUGGGUAGCAAACAGGAUUAGAUACCCUGGUAGUCCAUACCGUAAACGAUGAAUGCUAAGUGUUGGAGGGUUUCCGCCCUUCAGUGCUGCAGCUAACGCAUUAAGCAUUCCGCCUGGGGAGUACGGCCGCAAGGCUGAAACUCAAAGGAAUUGACGGGGGCCCGCACAAGCGGUGGAGCAUGUGGUUUAAUUCGAAGCUACGCGAAGAACCUUACCAGGUCUUGACAUACUAUGCAAAUCUAAGAGAUUAGACGUUCCCUUCGGGGACAUGGAUACAGGUGGUGCAUGGUUGUCGUCAGCUCGUGUCGUGAGAUGUUGGGUUAAGUCCCGCAACGAGCGCAACCCUUAUUAUCAGUUGCCAGCAUUAAGUUGGGCACUCUGGUGAGACUGCCGGUGACAAACCGGAGGAAGGUGGGGAUGACGUCAAAUCAUCAUGCCCCUUAUGACCUGGGCUACACACGUGCUACAAUGGAUGGUACAACGAGUUGCGAACUCGCGAGAGUAAGCUAAUCUCUUAAAGCCAUUCUCAGUUCGGAUUGUAGGCUGCAACUCGCCUACAUGAAGUCGGAAUCGCUAGUAAUCGCGGAUCAGCAUGCCGCGGUGAAUACGUUCCCGGGCCUUGUACACACCGCCCGUCACACCAUGAGAGUUUGUAACACCCAAAGUCGGUGGGGUAACCUUUUAGGAACCAGCCGCCUAAG